CAAAGAACUUUGAAGAGAGAGUUCAAAGGACGUGAAACCGUAUGGUGAAUAAACGAACUGUAGGCUCUAUUGGCGUUGAUUCAGCACUGCUCUUGUAGUGUGCCUUUCUGCGCCAGUUCUGACGGGAUAACCGAUGCUUGAACGUUCGAGCAGAGCGCUGCUCGCAGUGGCUUCUCGUGCUGGAUUGUAUCGGUGUCUUUGCUAGCUUUGUGAGCGACAAUGUCAAGCUAGGACGCUUUCUAUGUGUAGCUCAGGUUGGGCAUGGCUAGCCUUCUUUGUUUGUCGUUGCUGACUAAGUUUCAGAAUAUGAGUUGUACAGUUCGACCCGUCUUGAAACACGGACCAAGGAGUCUAAAUUGUGCGCAAGCCAUUGGGUUAAAAACCCACAGGCGAAACGAAAGUAAUUCGUGGGAUGUUUCCGCACCUCGAUCGUGUGCAGUGAUUACACUGCGCCCAGAAAGAGUGCACAGAUUAGUACCCGAAAGAUGGUGAACUAUGCUUGAGCAGGAUGAAGCCAGAGGAAACUCUGGUGGAAGUCCGAAGCGGUUCUGACGUGCAAAUCGAUCGUCAGACUUGAGUAUAGGGGCGAAAGACUAAUCGAACCAUC
Molecule: ribosomal RNA, 607 nt
Filed under: Halalaimus sp. Cr9
Lineage: Eukaryota; Metazoa; Nematoda; Enoplea; Enoplida; Oxystominidae
Description: eukaryotic LSU rRNA
Rfam family: Eukaryotic large subunit ribosomal RNA
Source: RNAcentral